RNAcentral lists this transfer RNA (71 nucleotides) under Camelus bactrianus (Bactrian camel). It matches the Rfam family "tRNA". Rfam says of the family: Transfer RNA (tRNA) molecules are approximately 80 nucleotides in length. Their secondary structure includes four short double-helical elements and three loops (D, anti-codon, and T loops). RNAcentral also lists the same sequence under 2 other names. The record is from Rfam by way of RNAcentral. Lineage: Eukaryota; Metazoa; Chordata; Mammalia; Artiodactyla; Camelidae.
GAGGUUAUAGCUCAGUGGUAGAGUGCAUGCUUAGCAUGCACGAGGUCCUGGGUUCAAUCUCCAGUACUUCU